GUGUUCGCUUCAUCAGCACAGAUACUAAAACUGGAACAAUACAGAGAAGAUUAGCAUGGCCCUGGUGCAAGGAUGACACGCAAAUUCGUGAGGUGCUCCAUAUUUAG
RNAcentral lists this small nuclear RNA (107 nucleotides) under Salvator merianae (Argentine black and white tegu). The record is from RNAcentral. Lineage: Eukaryota; Metazoa; Chordata; Lepidosauria; Squamata; Teiidae.